AUUCGAGUGUAGUUAUCAUUAUCAAUCGGAACUAUAAAGUUAAAAGUCUUCAAAUUCUAAUAUGCGAAUAUGAUAAAGAUCAUUCUCAACUGCUGAAAUGAUUAAUAAUUAUAAUUGUAAUACGGUGUUUGGCUCGCUUCAAAUGUGCUUCAAAUUAUCUAUCUUCUAUCUUAACAUUCGAUUGUAAAAUUCUUAUGCAAUUGGAGAAUAUUUGAUUGAGGCAAAAGAAAAAUUGGGUCCUUGAAGUGAGAUGAGGUAAUCGGACCUCGAGAUAUUAUAGCUUUUUUAUUUUAUGGAAAGUACGAUGAUAAAUUUCUUUGAGCCAGGAGUAAAAGUGCUAGUUAAAUAAAUCGAGACCUGAUAAUUAUGAUGUGACCGGGUGAAUUGAAUUGGAUGAAAAAAAUUAUACCCACUUAUAUAAUAUCUUCCUCUUACGGUUGCAAAAUGAAAACAAAAUCAAUUACUAUCCUAUACGUAGAGUAUGCAUACCCAUGAUAUGUAUGUAUAUUAUUUAUAUCGUUAGUCAUAAUAUAUGGUCAUUCAUAUAAGUAUACGUAUAUGAUAGAAAGAAAUAUAAAUAUUGUAUAUAUUUAUGCCUAUGCAUAUAUAUAUUCAUGAACUCAUUUGUGUAUAACUAUUUCAUAUAAUAAUAUGGAAAAUCUCAUCGAAUAUACAAUAUAUUAUAUAUACACACACACACACGGUAUUCUACUAAUGUAUGAAACUUCAUCUUGAAAAUAUUUUUCAAUCAGUGGUGCUUUCGUUCGAUCAAUGUAUGAUCAUUAAACUGUAAUGAGGGUGAGAGACGAACAAUAAAUAAUCAUAUUCUAUGUAUGCACUAUCCGACUUUCCCUGUAUUAAAAAUAAUAGUGCAGUGUUAAAUUAUCAUAGCGAAAUUUUGCACGAAAAUAUCAAGAAUUUAUCCACUCGAGAAAGCUACCUUAAAAAAUUUACGCAGAUACGAAGUGUAAUAAAAGUAGCGCGUUUGUAGAUGAAGGCUCUAUUGUUAUAUAAUUUGUCAUCAAUAUAAAGGCUGUGGUUCUUGGUCAUCAUAAUAACCCUCAUGCUUUUGCUGUAAUUAGGAGCUGAGUCGUGCUAGCAGAAAAAGUUUGACAAUGACAUCUGAUAAGGCAACGAAGAGUGCUGUCGUUACAGCCUAUGUAAAGAAACUUGCUUGGGAAAAUCUCACGAAGGGCGCUAUUGUUAAUCAUCGCACAUCACAUGGAAUAACUCCUCUUCUUGCGGCGGUAGAACAUGGUGACAUUGACUUGAUCAUACUCAUCUGCACUCACAAUCAGCCUAAAAGCAUAGAUAUAUCUAUGCUAAAAGCCCUAUCAACCUGCAGGAAAAGACUAUACACAUAUCUGAAAUUCUCCAUCUUUUCCAUAACGUUAAAGUUGAUCAUUGGUUUUUCUUUUUUAUUAAUGACAAUAAUUGUCGUUUCAUAUAGGGUCAACCCCCUUGCAUUUGUGGGUUCUGUACGGCCACAGAGUAAUUAUGCUCGGGCUACUACGUCGAGGAGCAUUAGUAAAUUGUUCGGAUACCCUAGGCCGUUAUCCACUGCAUUUUGCAGCAACUCAAAAGGACGUCGGAAGUGCGAGAAUGCUAAUAAGAUUUGGUGAUCGCAUCAAUGUCUACGACGCUUUUUCCGACAGCCCUCUUUCUAUCAGCGUUUUACGUAGGCCUUGCGUAGCAAUGGCGAGGCUCUUUUUAGCUAACCGGUAUUACUCGCUGAAAUUUUAUAAAUACUUUACUGCAUGGGUUCUUUAUUUAUUUAUUCGAUUUUGAAUGAAACAGAGCGUCCUCUGGUCCGCCGCCCGAUUGGUCUUGGUAUGGGCCUUCUUCUAGAAGCGGUUCUGAGUGCGCGUCGCACUUCAAACUUCGAAGCUAUCAAGGUUCUAAUUUGGGCAGGAGAGGGUUGUAAAUAUCGUAGAUCCCAUGGGAUUGAAAACGCCUCUACAUUUAGUCGCGAUUAACGGACAUCUGGAAUUAGCUGAAAGGAGACCCCGCCAAGUGCCACCCACCGAUUUUGAUAAAACUUCGCAGGAUGAAAGAGUAACAAAAAUAAACGGAUACGUGUUUUGGCUUAUCCGUAGACGCUCAACCGUUUUCGAUUUCGAGAAAAUUACGGUUGAAACAUGGAAAAUUUUGACGCCGCUUCAUGAGUCCGCCCGCGCGCUAUCGCCUCAAGCGUGUCGGCGGUGCAGCGGCUAACGCGACAGCUUCGAGAUGUGACGCUCCGCGCUUGAGUCCUGAUCAAAAUUUUUUUUUUUUUUUUUCUCAAAUUCUUCGUCAAAGUAUGCUGCGCGAACGUUCCUUAUUUUAUUGAUAAAUACAAGGACGCUGUAUUUAAAUUACAAUUCAUCAUUUCGAAGCAACUGUCCGUUAUUCUGAAUUAUGCUACGGGGUAGGUUUUCAGGUAGGCUCGCUAGCCGUAGCCAACAGGCCAUUUUUUUUUAGAAAAUAAUACGAAAUAUUUUGGACUGGUAAAAAACUAUAUUCGACGUCUCCAAAACUGCCCCGUCCUGAUUGCUCAGCGGAGAGAAAUCACAAGCAGACGCGACGCAAUAAAAAUACACUCCCUGGUCCACAAUCAAUUGCGGGCACCAGCAUUUGAAAAAAUGAUUCGGUACGCAUGAUUCGCCGCAAAAUUAUCGGCGGAUCGCGAGGUUUUCAAUAACGUCAACGACAUUGCGUUUCCGGACGACGUUCACACCCAGAACUGUGAUUGCGGCCAAAGUGCCUUCGCGCGUUGCUCCUGGUGCAGAGAAUAUUUAUGUUUUGAAUGUUGCUAUGAUAGGUACCAUCCCGACGAAUGCGCUACAUAUCGUUGAAUUAAUCGGGAGAUAAUGUAAUAAUUAACAUAAAAAUUAAGCCACUCGCUGCUAUCCAUUUGUUAUUUCCAAAUAUUUUUGAACCCAAUACCCUGUAGCAUAAUUGUAAUGAUUGUAAUUUAAAUACAGCGUCCUUGUAUUUAUCAAUAAAAUAAGGAACGUUCGCGCAGCAUACUUUGACGAAGAAUUUGAGAAAAAAAAAAAAAAAAAUUUUGAUCAGGACUCAAGCGCGGAGCGUCACAUCUCGAAGCUGUCGCGUUAGCCGCUGCACCGCCGACACGCUUGAGGCGAUAGCGCGCGGGCGGACUCAUGAAGCGGCGUCAAAAUUUUCCAUGUUUCAACCGUAAUUUUCUCGAAAACGGUUGAGUGUCUACGGAUAAGCCAAAACACGUAUCCGUUUAUUUUUGUUACUCUUUCAUCGUGCGAAGUUUCAUCAAAAUUGGUGGGUGGCACUUGGCGGGGUCUCCUGUGAGUGAGAAUUUUGUCAGUGAGGCGUGUUUUGGUAUCGUUACAUUUUGUUACUAUUUUUUUUUCAUAGGUAUCUAAUUAGCCAUGGUGCCGAUUUGUACGCGAAAUAUCGCGCCGGGCAAACUCCUUUGGAAGUAGCAUUUAACUGCCGUAAUUUCAGUGUCGCGUAUCUGAUCGAAGAGAGUCGCAAUAUGCAAUCAAGAAGUCGUAUCAACCAAAUCCUCGAAUCUACCGAAGGGUCUGAUACGCCGAUGCGUAAUCGUCCAUAGCGAUGAACAUGAAGUGCAGCUGACCCAUAAUUGACCUCCCUCUGUGCAUCAUGAACUUGACCUGAUUCCUACGAAUGAAGAAAUCUGACAUGAAGGAAGUAGUUGCUGCACACCAACAAGGAUCAGGAGCUGACACCCUUCUAGAAACAGCUGACUGCACGAACCAUUUACGAAAAAGAAAUUAAGGGGAAAGCAAACAAUAAUAUAAUAAAUGUACAAAAUAAACACACAUAUAAUAAGAACUCCUAAAUUAAACCAAAAUCAUACCUGAAGAGAAAAUACAGUACAAUAAAUCUCCUCUUA
This is a long non-coding RNA of Athalia rosae (coleseed sawfly), 3874 nucleotides long. RefSeq lists it as uncharacterized. The record is from RefSeq and is a predicted model, not a curated record. The transcript is spliced from 3 exons. NCBI's taxonomy places the organism in Eukaryota, Metazoa, Arthropoda, Insecta, Hymenoptera, Athaliidae.